This 524-nucleotide ribosomal RNA is filed under the name uncultured bacterium. RNAcentral's name for it is "bacterial SSU rRNA". It matches the Rfam family "Bacterial small subunit ribosomal RNA", at positions 355 to 896 of the family's 1533-position model. The record is from RNAcentral.
UGGGGAAUAUUGCACAAUGGGGGAAACCCUGAUGCAGCGACGCCGCGUGAGUGAAGAAGUAUUUCGGUAUGUAAAGCUCUAUCAGCAGGGAAGAUAAUGACAGUACCUGACUAAGAAGCCCCGGCUAACUACGUGCCAGCAGCCGCGGUAAUACGUAGGGGGCAAGCGUUAUCCGGAUUUACUGGGUGUAAAGGGAGCGUAGACGGAGUGGCAAGUCUGAAGUGAAAACCCUGGGCUUAACCUGGGGACUGCUUUGGAAACUGUUAAUCUAGAGUGUUGGAGAGGUAAGUGGAAUUCCUGGUGUAGCGGUGAAAUGCGUAGAUAUCAGGAAGAACACCGGAGGCGAAGGCGGCUUACUGGACAAUAACUGACGUUGAGGCUCGAAAGCGUGGGGAUCAAACAGGAUUAGAUACCCUGGUAGUCCACGCUGUAAACGAUGAAUACUAGGUGUCGGGGUGCAAAGCAUCUCGGUGCCGUCGCUAACGCAAUAAGUAUUCCACCUGGGGAGUACGUUCGCAAGAAUG